AACCGGAUUAGAUACCCUGGUAGUCCACGCCGUAAACGUUGGGCGCUAAGUGUGGGGGGUUUUCCAUGCCCUCCGUGCCGCAGCUAACGCAUUAAGCGCCCCGCCUGGGGAGUACGGUCGCAAGACUAAAACUCAAAGGAAUUGAAGGGGGCCCGCACAAGCGGCGGAGCAUGUUGCUUAAUUCGAUGCGACGCGAAGAACCUUACCUGGGUUUGACAUGUGUGGAAAUCCGGCAGAGAUGUCGGGUCCGUAAGGGCCACACACAGGUGGUACAUGGCUGUCGUCAGCUCGUGUCGUGAGAUGUUGGGUUAAGUCCCGCAACGAGCGCAACCCUCGUUCCAUGUUGCCAGCACGUAAUGGUGGGGACUCAUGGGAGACUGCCGGGGUCAACUCGGAGGAAGGUGGGGACGACGUCAAGUCUUCAUGCCCCUUAUGUCCAGGGCUGCAAACAUGCUACAAUGGUCGGUACAAAGGGCUGCUAAACCGCAAGGUGGAGCGAAUCCCAAAAAGCCGGCCUCAGUUCGGAUCGGGGUCUGCAACUCGACCCCGUGAAGUUGGAGUCGCUAGUAAUCGCAGAUCAGCAACGCUGCGGUGAAUACGUUCCCGGGCCUUGUACACCCCGCCCGUCAACUCAUGAAAGUUGGCAAUGCCCGAAGCCAGUGGCCCAACCCUUUGGGAGGGAGCUGUCUAAGGCAGGGCUGGCGAUUAGGACUAAGUCGUAACAAAGGUUACAUC
Molecule: ribosomal RNA, 735 nt
Filed under: uncultured bacterium
Lineage: Bacteria
Description: bacterial SSU rRNA
Rfam family: Bacterial small subunit ribosomal RNA
Source: RNAcentral